RNAcentral lists this unclassified non-coding RNA (210 nucleotides) under Hevea brasiliensis (rubber tree). Lineage: Eukaryota; Viridiplantae; Streptophyta; Magnoliopsida; Malpighiales; Euphorbiaceae. The record is from RNAcentral.
GUGGAGUAAGGGCAUAGAGUCUAAGAGAAAGGACCCUUGUCCAUUGUUGAGGUGGCUAUUGCUUAUGUAUCGUAGACAUUUGUAGUGUAUUAAAAAGUUAAAAUAUUAAAUAUAUUUGUUAUGUCUAGAGGAGAAUGAAUGGGACAAAUUAAUAUAUUUACUUUAAGUAGUCGUUUCAUCAAGAGGGAUCUCUUGGGUGUAAUGGGAUAU